This 305-nucleotide ribosomal RNA is filed under the name uncultured bacterium. Its description in RNAcentral is "bacterial SSU rRNA". It matches the Rfam family "Bacterial small subunit ribosomal RNA", at positions 338 to 640 of the family's 1533-position model. The record is from RNAcentral.
CCUACGGGACGCAGCAGUGAGGAAUAUUGGUCGAUGGGCGCGAGCCUGAACCAGCCAAGUCGCGUGAGGGAAGACGGUCCUAUGGAUUGUAAACCUCUUUUGUCAGGGAGCAACGCCGGCUACGUGUAGCCGGACUGAGAGUACCUGAAGAAAAAGCAUCGGCUAACUCCGUGCCAGCAGCCGCGGUAAUACGGAGGAUGCGAGCGUUAUCCGGAUUUAUUGGGUUUAAAGGGUGCGUAGGCGGAAUGCCAAGUCAGCGGUAAAAUCGCGGGGCUCAACCUAGCUCCGCCGUUGAAACUGGCGUU